RNAcentral lists this long non-coding RNA (1645 nucleotides) under Canis lupus familiaris (dog). RNAcentral's name for it is "lncRNA (ENSCAFG00845004119.1)". The record is from RNAcentral. Lineage: Eukaryota; Metazoa; Chordata; Mammalia; Carnivora; Canidae.
GCGGUCAUCUGGAUGAUGAGGUCAGAAGUGAGAGCUAGACGGGAGAGCAAGUGUGGGAGGGGUUAAUAGACACACCGAGCAGAAAACAGUCUGCGGCAUGUUUGACUGUGGGACUCAGUGAGGGGGAGAAAUCUAAUUUGGCUCUGAGCUUUCUGGCUGUACUGAUUACAGCGAGAUACAGCCAGGAGCGGAUUCGGGAGGAAGCUGAUUAAUCUGGCAUCGGACACGCUGGGUGUGAAGGCUCAUGUUUCAUCCACGUGGAAGGCCUGGCAGACUCAAAUGAGAAGGAUGUACAAGUUCGGCCAACAGCCAUGCCUGUCUGGCUGUGUCUGCUAUGAGGGUGCAUGUGUACUGGAGGGAGCUGUGUUGGCACACAAAGAGGCUGUGGCACCAUUGCACCCUCAGGAGCCAAAGGGAAUGGAAGAGGGAAUGAGGCACUACCCGGGUUUAUUCCAGAUAAGCCACUUCUAUUGGAAGUGGGCCAAGGGGAAAGAAGAUGUCCAAGAUCCAAUCUCAUGCUCGCUUGAGAGGAUUCAGUGUGGUUGGUUGGGAUCAAGGGGACAUGCAGGCUGCAGCCAGGAUCACAGGCCCAGGAUGCCUGCAUCCAGCUGCCCAAAUCGGACAUGCUAAGGACACGCCAUCCUCUCCUGAAUCUUCAUUUAUGUACAAAGCCCUAGAGGCCCCUCACCAAGGUUUUCCUUUAGACAGUCCAGGCUCCUGACUGGUUCAAAGGCUUUCGCUGACAUUUCAGUUUGGAUUUUCCCAAACUGAAAGGUUCUGGGUGUUCUAGAGAUUUUUAAACCCUAAAUACUUUGAAAGGCGAUGGUUUGCUGGAAGCGGGACAAGCCAGUGUUAAAACGUGCGGUGAAAGAAGAGGGAGCAGAACAGAUCAAAAAUCAGGUUGGUGAGCACUUCACAUCACCUCCUUAAUGCCUUCACUAUCAACCUUCUCACCCCCACCCUCAUCAAUAGCAUUUAUGGAAUGCCUCCUUGAUGCCACGUGUCAGGGGAUUUGCAUGUGUCACCUCUAGGUCACAUAGUGGUGGUCUGACGGCGGGAUAAACUUCCCAGGGCAGACAGUGACAGCUCACAGCUGUCCCCUUCCAAGCACGGUAUCCUUUGGGAUCCUAGCAGGCCCCCCUGGGAACUGAAGGGUACAGACUCUACCCAUUGUGUGACCCUGCUGGUAUUGGGCACCAGCAGUAGUUGAAGCCAGCCUUCCUUUCCUCUCACACACAGGCACAAACUCAUGCACACACUCGUGCACCCAUGCAUGCACGCAUAUACACACAUAAACACAUGCUUCAGCUCCGAUGCUGGGGCAGGCUUGUGUAGAGGUUGCACCUGAUGUCCAUAUGCAUGGAGUUCACAUGCAUCUCUGCCCAAGAGUGGACUCCAAACAAAAGUUUGAAAACUUCACUGAAGCAGAGGAAAUCCAGGAUCCCAGGGCUCAUCUCCCUAAUGCCCCUUCCCCACUAACUGUCUGUUGGGUGGUGGUCUUAUGAGUGAGUCAGAGCUGGUCUUCACUUCACCAGCAGAGGUUAGUGUGGUGUGUGGAUGACUCCUCCUCACCCUCGAGAGCAAACAAGAACCAGACAACCACAAAGUACCCUGCUGGUCCUGAGACUGACCCUUUAACCUAAAG